This is a long non-coding RNA of Labeo rohita (rohu), 474 nucleotides long. RefSeq lists it as uncharacterized. The record is from RefSeq and is a predicted model, not a curated record. Lineage: Eukaryota; Metazoa; Chordata; Actinopteri; Cypriniformes; Cyprinidae. The transcript is spliced from 3 exons.
AAGAGGUAAGAGCCGGCUUAGUUACCCACAUUUAGGCCUUGUUAGUUAUGUGUCAGUUAUGCGCAUUGUCUUCUGUCUUCCGGUUUGUAUUUUCACAGCGUGAAGGGGUUGAGCCUGUUUCCGACGAAAUAACCCAGCUGUUGCGUUACAGCCAAUGGGCGUUUUUUGUGUCUUCUACUGGAGAGAGCGGUUCAGCGGCACAGUGCACUUCUUCAGCGUAAUAAAGGUUAAGGAGUCAGGCACUGCAUCUUUCAGCUACAGUGAAACGCGAGGCCGCGGUCUGAGGCUCGUAGUUCCCCGGUGAACAGCAGCCCAUCACCGGUUCAGAUUUCGGCGACAAACCGGCACGAGAAUUAGCACUAUUUAAUCGAAAAGCGAUUACAGAGACUGGUUGAACACAUGUAAAUUAAAAUUCAACUUUUAAAUUUUCAAUUUUUAUUUCUAAACUGAUUGUUAAACGAGUUUAAUGGUAUG